Molecule: ribosomal RNA, 460 nt
Filed under: uncultured bacterium
Lineage: Bacteria
Description: partial 16S ribosomal RNA
Rfam family: Bacterial small subunit ribosomal RNA
Source: RNAcentral
CCUACGAGAGGCAGCAGUGAGGAAUAUUGGUCAAUGGGCGCGAGCCUGAACCAGCCAAGUCGCGUGAGGGAAGACGGUCCUAUGGAUUGUAAACCUCUUUUGUCGGGGAGCAAAAGACGCCACGCGUGGCGUUCCGAGAGUACCCGAAGAAAAAGCAUCGGCUAACUCCGUGCCAGCAGCCGCGGUAAUACGGAGGAUCCGAGCGUUAUCCGGAUUUAUUGGGGUUAAAGGGUGCGUAGGCGGCCUUUUAAGUCAGCGGUGAAAGUCUGUGGCUCAACCAUAGAAUUGCCGUUGAAACUGGGGAUCUUGAGUGGAGGAGAGGGAGGCGGAAUGCGUGGUGUAGCGGUGAAAUGCGUAGAUAUCACGAAGAACUCCGAUUGCGAAGGCAGCAUACCGGCGCCCGACUGACGCUGAGGCACGAAAGCGUGGGGAUCGAACAGGAUUAGAUACCCUGGUAGUC